RNAcentral lists this unclassified non-coding RNA (1839 nucleotides) under Hermetia illucens (black soldier fly). Its description in RNAcentral is "stAR-related lipid transfer protein 7, mitochondrial, transcript variant X1". Lineage: Eukaryota; Metazoa; Arthropoda; Insecta; Diptera; Stratiomyidae. The record is from RNAcentral.
AAUGUCAAAAAAAUUUCCGUGUGACUGAUAGUAGUGUGCGGAGAUAGGUCGGGGAGUAGACGAUAAAAAUUUAUUGGAAUACGUUUCGUCUCUCCGUUUUUUUUUACCAAAUUAAAUUCAAAACAACAAAGAGGUGAUGUGAACAUGGCAAGUCGGGUCGUCGCAUUCGAGAAAUUAUUCCAUAGCUAGACCGAAGGCAACAAAUCAAAAAUCCAAAGUUUCUGAAAACCAUCACAACAACAUCGCAGCGUAAUCACAGCCGGACAAAUGAUGAGAUUGAAACCGCCUUCAUACCAGCUGUCGGCAUGUCUGCAUCGGAUGCGGGAUGCUUUUGUAAAGAACCUGAAAGAACGUUCCAAUAUAACCUUGCGACUCUGGGCCGAUCAUUGCGAAUAUAUUCUGGCGCAACGGUUCCGUCGCGGUCAACAGAUUUUUACUUUCUACCACCGAAUUUGGGGAGAACACGCGCUGAUACAAUUGCUGUACGGAUUUCGCAGGCAGAUUCAACGAAAUCUAAAGGGUAUUUUGCUCUCUUCUGUGGGUCUUUACGCUUUCGAUUGGGAAAAGGAGCGUAUCAGCUAUGAUACAGUUAAACCACAUUUCGAUGAUGUCGACUUCGUUAAAAAAUUACAAAAAGAAACAUUGAUUUGUUCGAAUUGUGAAAAACGCAUUGCAAUCGGCGAAAAAGUUGAAGGUACACCAUAUUGUGUCUGCAAGGGAAUAUCCCAGGAUUCGGUUAAGAGGAGCUCAUCUGGCUGGGAACCAUACCUUGAGGGUAAAAAUAUGUUAAUAUGGCGAAGAGAAGAGAAACCUUCACGAUAUUCCUAUAAAGUUUAUUGCGUUUAUGAUGACAUAACUGCUAGUGAUUUUAUACAAGUUCAAACCGAUCUUGAAUACCGGAAAAUAUGGGAUGAUACUGCCAUUGUACUGAAUGUAGUGGAUACUGAUCCUAUAGAUACGAGCCGAAGCCAAAUAGUUUAUUGGGAAAUGCGAUGGCCGGCAUUGUUUGCUAACCGUGAUUACGUGUACAGUCGUCGAUAUUUCAUCAAUAACGUCAAAAAUGUGGUCGUCCUCUGCAGUAGGAGUACAAAACAUCCAAAAUGUCCGGUGAAAUCGGAUAAACAUCGAGUUGUUGAUUAUUGGAGUUUUAUGACAGUGAAGCCAUUCACAACAAUCAACGAACCAGGACUGGAAUUCGUUUUGACAUAUUACGAUGAUCCGGGAGUGUCACUUCCUGCAUAUAUAACGAAUUGGGUUGCUCAAAAGCAAAUGCCAGAUUUUUUAAAUAAAUUAUACAAUGCCACGAAAGAAUUUUACUAUCGUAAAAAAUAUAAUAAGAAAAUGACCUAUUCAUGGGAACAGUUGAAAACAUCCGAAGAUGCAAAAUAUCGAAGACCCACCGAAGUCAACACAGCUGAUAGUGAAGGAUUGAACAUAAUCGACUGUACGAGCCUUGUAAGAAAGUUAAGAAGGAAAUGUUUAUUGAAGUCAUCAUCACUGGGUCGCUAUAUCGUUUAAAAGUGCGAAGGGAGAGAUAUCAGAGAAAGAAAUGUGGCAUGAAAUAUUUGAAUGGGUUUAUUGCUUAUUAAGUUAUAUUAUUAUUCUGAGGAGCUUACGGACUAUUAGCAGAAAGGGGAACUAAUUCUCUCAAGAUCCAAUGCUGGCAUUGUUGUUUCAAGAUCGUAAUGAAAUUUUCUUUCAACUGAAGGCAACAGGCUGAAAGCAUGCGAUUUUAAAGCAAAAUCCUCAUAGAUCCACCUCAAAGUAAAAUCAAAUCUAUCCUGGAAAAAUGAAAUUAUGCGUAUUAAUAAAAAUUGAAUGUAUCGGUAGAAAAAUAAA